RNAcentral lists this ribosomal RNA (90 nucleotides) under uncultured bacterium. Its description in RNAcentral is "partial 16S ribosomal RNA". The record is from RNAcentral.
CACAUCACGAAAAGUGGGGUUGUACUAGAAGUCGCUGCGCUAACUCGCAAGAGAGGGCAAGCGCCCAAGGUAUGACUCAUGAUUGGGGUG